RNAcentral lists this microRNA precursor (188 nucleotides) under Leersia perrieri. Its description in RNAcentral is "MIR812 microRNA precursor family". It matches the Rfam family "MIR812 microRNA precursor family". The record is from Rfam by way of RNAcentral. Lineage: Eukaryota; Viridiplantae; Streptophyta; Magnoliopsida; Poales; Poaceae.
UUCAACUUUAACCAUCUGUCUUUGAUUAAAAAAAACUUUAACCAUCUGUCUUAUUUGAAAAAGUUUAUAAUUAAUUUUUUAUUAUUAGAUGGUAAUAUAUAAAUAGUACUUCAUGCAUUACUAUUUCUUUUUAGUUUGUUUUAUAAAAUUUUUAAAUAAGACGAACGGUGAAAGUUGACACGGAAAUC